GACGAACGCUGGCGGCGUGCUUAACACAUGCAAGUCGAGCGGAAAGGCCCUUCGGGGUACUCGAGCGGCGAACGGGUGAGUAACACGUGAGUAAUCUGCCCUUGGCUUUGGGAUAACUACCGGAAACGGUGGCUAAUACCGGAUACGACAACCGUCUGCAUGGGCUGGUUGUGGAAAGUUUUUUCGGCCAGGGAUGUGCUCGCGGCCUAUUAGCUUGUUGGUGGGGUAAUGGCCUACCAAGGCUUCGACGGGUAGCCGGCCUGAGAGGGUGACCGGCCACACUGGGACUGAGACACGGCCCAGACUCCUACGGGAGGCAGCAGUGGGGAAUAUUGGACAAUGGGCGGAAGCCUGAUCCAGCAACGCCGCGUGAGGGAUGACGGCCUUCGGGUUGUAAACCUCUUUCAGUACCGACGAAGCGCCGAUGAUGGUGGUGACGGUAGGUACAGAAGAAGCACCGGCCAACUACGUG
Molecule: ribosomal RNA, 472 nt
Filed under: uncultured bacterium
Lineage: Bacteria
Description: partial 16S ribosomal RNA
Rfam family: Bacterial small subunit ribosomal RNA
Source: RNAcentral